AACGCACAUUGCGCCUCUCUUUACCGGGAGGCAUGCCUGUCUGAGCGUCAUUUAAACCAAUGAACAUAACUUGUUAGUUCGUGUUCGUAUUGAGUUCCGCCUUGGGCGCUACUUUGAAGCAAUUGGUCUAGAUUAGCGGACGAGAUCCUUCAGGACUAACCGCAAAUUCAGACGAAAUACUCUUUCUCAUUUGACCUCAGAUCAGGUAGGGAUACCGCCUGAACUUAA
Molecule: unclassified non-coding RNA, 228 nt
Filed under: uncultured fungus
Lineage: Eukaryota; Fungi
Description: sequence contains ITS2
Source: RNAcentral